CUAGUAAAUGGAUGACAAGCCAUUAACAUUGAAAGAAGAAGAGGCAUCCAAAGUGUUGGGUCCGCAUCGCCCUUGCCUUGGAGGAAGCUCCAAAGAGAGGGAAGGAUGGUUUCCAGCAGUCCCUGAAGUGACUUUCCUCCUUUGUAGGAUCCAGUUACACCCAGCAGACUUCAGUUUGAAUAAACAGAACUGGAUGAACACACCUAGGGAAUCUUUGAGGCCAGCCUUAGCUUUUAACAUCCAGCUACAGGGAGGCUCUCGCUCACCGGGAGAUUAACCCGCCAGGCUGCUGAGUGAGAAGGGACAGAGCAGGCCCUGACGGGAGGCCUGGGAUGCAGGGGAAAUCAAAACAAGUCCACCUGCUUAAGGAGACUGCCGCACUGUGACCUCGUCCUCCGGACCUCUGUGGCAAGUGUUACCGCAGCCACUGAUGUGGCACUGGGCCAUUUACAGCUGCCUUGUGAUAUUCUUUUUCACGACUGUGUUUACACUAUUGUUUAACAACUUUGUAUAACAAUCUCUUUUCACUCCAAAUAAACCUUAGUGCCAGGAAGGCCAAGAGUAUCUUCA
RNAcentral lists this non-coding RNA (570 nucleotides) under Pongo abelii (Sumatran orangutan). Lineage: Eukaryota; Metazoa; Chordata; Mammalia; Primates; Hominidae. The record is from RNAcentral.